RNAcentral lists this long non-coding RNA (1002 nucleotides) under Chloebia gouldiae (Gouldian finch). Its description in RNAcentral is "Erythrura gouldiae (Gouldian finch) lncRNA (ENSEGOG00005001873.1)". The record is from RNAcentral. Lineage: Eukaryota; Metazoa; Chordata; Aves; Passeriformes; Passeridae.
CGCCGCCUCCCAGCGGGUGGCGCUGGCGAGUCGCCGACGGAGAGCGGCGGGGGCUGCGCGGGAGCGGAGCGGGAACGGGAACGCACCGGGAACGCACCGGGAACGGGAACGCACCGGGAACGGGAACGCACCGGGAACGGGAACGCACCGGGAACGCACCGGGAACGGAGCCGGAGCGGAGCCGGGAGAGGGAACGGAGCGGGAGUGGGAGCGGGAGCCGGGUCUGGCGCGGCAGCCCCGUCGUGGGUGGCGGGAGGCUGCGGAGAAGACUGGAACUUUGUGGCUUGGAGAAUGGAUACACUGACCUUUUGCUGGUGUGUGCUUCAGCUCUUGCCACAGGCAUCUGAGUGCAAGGGAGCUCAGCUGUCCUCCCCAAACCCCUACACAUGCAGACUCCUGUGAUCAGGAGCCGAUGCUGGUCUUGCCACAGAUUUCCUGUGCGGUCUUGGAUAGGAAGGUGUCUGUGUGCCUCAGUUUUUCCAUCUGUAAAAUAAGAACGAUGUUACACUGCUUCACCAGUGCAGCUAAAUUUCUGCUUUAAAAGCACUCUGUGACCUUUGGGUGAAUGGUGGUAAUGAGCUGUUUGCGUUAUUUAUAAGUAUCAUUUGCUGUGAUGUAAAUAUUUUUUUGUAUUGUUCAUACUGUGUUUAUUUUGUGCAAGUGAAUACAGUCCCAAUGAAAGCAGGAGACCGAGUAUUUUGCUUUCCCACGUAACUCAACCAGCGUUCCCAAAUUCUGAUCUCUAACACCUCUGCUAUUGCAGUCCUGGGCCUCUCUUGAGCAGAAACUGCUGAUCAUGCCAAAUUCUCUGGUGUUUUGUAAUGUGGGCUAACAUGGGCUGAGGUUUGGAUGAGACCAAUAGACUCAUUUUCACUUAGGGCCUGCAGCAGCACUGAAGCUGGAGAGAACAGAAGUGAAAGGUCAGUGUUUCCCUUCCCUGAGCCACACAGCUCCUGUUUGAAAGCAAAUAAAAAUAUAAUAUGACUCCUAAUAUUUAUAAAU